This 216-nucleotide ribosomal RNA is filed under the name Glomeromycotina sp. RNAcentral describes it as "partial small subunit ribosomal RNA". The stretch from base 40 to 216 matches the Rfam family "Eukaryotic small subunit ribosomal RNA", at positions 686 to 864 of the family's 1831-position model. Lineage: Eukaryota; Fungi; Glomeromycota. The record is from RNAcentral.
GGGUCAGUAGGUUGGUCGUGCCACCGGUACGUACUGGUCUCACUGAUUCCUCCUUCCUGAAUAACCGUAAUGCCAUUAAUUUGGUGUUGCGGGGAAACAGGACUGUUACUUUGAAAAAAUUAGAGUGUUUAAAGCAAGCUAGCGCUUGAAUACAUUAGCAUGGAAUAAUGAAAUAGGACGAUCGAUCCUAUUUUGUUGGUUUCUAGGAUUGACGUA